UCCAAGUGAAGCAGAGGACAGUGGCGGACGGGUGAGUAACGCGUGAGGAACCUGCCUUUCAGAGGGGGACAACAGUUGGAAACGACUGCUAAUACCGCAUGACACAUAGAUGUCGCAUGGCAUUUAUGUCAAAGAUUUAUCGCUGAAAGAUGGCCUCGCGUCUGAUUAGCUAGUUGGUGAGGUAACGGCCCACCAAGGCGACGAUCAGUAGCCGGACUGAGAGGUUAACCCCCACAUUGGGACUGAGACACGGCCCAAACUCC
Molecule: ribosomal RNA, 263 nt
Filed under: uncultured Oscillibacter sp.
Lineage: Bacteria; Bacillati; Bacillota; Clostridia; Eubacteriales; Oscillospiraceae
Description: partial 16S ribosomal RNA
Rfam family: Bacterial small subunit ribosomal RNA
Source: RNAcentral